Molecule: ribosomal RNA, 468 nt
Filed under: uncultured bacterium
Lineage: Bacteria
Description: partial 16S ribosomal RNA
Rfam family: Bacterial small subunit ribosomal RNA
Source: RNAcentral
GACGAACGCUGGCGGCGUGCUUAACACAUGCAAGUCGAACGGAAACGCCCUGCUUUUGUGGGGUUCUCUAAUGGCUAACGGGUGGGUAACACGUGAGUAACCUGCCCUUGACUUUGGGAUAACUUCAGGAAACUGGGGCUAAUAACGGAUAGGAGCUCCUGCUGCCUGGUGGGGGGUGGAAAGUUGCGGCGGUUGGGGAUGGACUCGCGGCUUAUCAGCUUGUUGGUGGGGUAGUGGCUUACCAAGGCUUUGACGGGUAGCCGGCCUGAGAGGGUGACCGGCCACAUUGGGACUGAGAUACGGCCCAGACUCCUACGGGAGGCAGUAGUGGGGAAUAUUGCACAAUGGGCGGAAGCCUGAUGCAGCAACGCCGCGUGCGGGAUGACGGCCUUCGGGUUGUAAACCGCGUUAGCCUGUGACGAAGCGUGAGUGACGGUAAUGGGUAAAGAAGCACCGGCUAACUACGUG